AGUGAACGCUGGCGGUAGGCCUAACACAUGCAAGUCGAACGGCAGCACAGUAAGAGCUUGCUCUUACGGGUGGCGAGUGGCGGACGGGUGAGGAAUACAUCGGAAUCUACUUUUUCGUGGGGGAUAACGUAGGGAAACUUACGCUAAUACCGCAUACGACCUACGGGUGAAAGCAGGGGAUCUUCGGACCUUGCGCGAUUGAAUGAGCCGAUGUCGGAUUAGCUAGUUGGCGGGGUAAAGGCCCACCAAGGCGACGAUCCGUAGCUGGUCUGAGAGGAUGAUCAGCCACACUGGAACUGAGACACGGUCCAGACUCCUACGGGAGGCAGCAGUGGGGAAUAUUGGACAAUGGGCGCAAUCCUGAUCCAGCCAUACCGCGUUGGUGAAGAAGGCCUUCGGGUUGUAAAGCCCUUUUGUUGGGAAAGAAAAGCAGCAGGUUAAUACCCCGCUGUUCUGACGGUACCCAAAGAAUAAGCACCGGCUAACUUCGUG
RNAcentral lists this ribosomal RNA (492 nucleotides) under uncultured bacterium. Its description in RNAcentral is "partial 16S ribosomal RNA". It matches the Rfam family "Bacterial small subunit ribosomal RNA", at positions 29 to 507 of the family's 1533-position model. The record is from RNAcentral.